Molecule: microRNA precursor, 98 nt
Filed under: Aegilops tauschii subsp. strangulata
Lineage: Eukaryota; Viridiplantae; Streptophyta; Magnoliopsida; Poales; Poaceae
Description: pre miRNA MIR164
Source: RNAcentral
CAAUUAAAGUUGGAGAAACUGACACCCGCUAGCCACUUGUGUGCAAAGCACGUCGGUAGAACCAGUCUCGCGGGUGUCAGUUUCUCCAACUUUAAUUG